Molecule: long non-coding RNA, 1235 nt
Organism: Suricata suricatta (meerkat)
Lineage: Eukaryota; Metazoa; Chordata; Mammalia; Carnivora; Herpestidae
Exons: 3
Source: RefSeq, a predicted model, not a curated record
CGGCGGGCGGGGACGGGGGGUGGGGGCAGGGCACCGAGAGGAUUUGGGGGCGCUGGCAGAGCUGGGGAGGGCUGACAGAACUGGCGUUGCCGAACGACCGGAGGCCCUGGAGGCCCAAUCCCCGUCCCGCCUCGGGGGCCUGGGUCUCCUACCAAGUCCGACGCGGAAACCUCCAGAAUGCUCGCUCCGGCCCUGGGGACGCUGCCAGGGCCUUGAAACGGCCGCCACAGGCCCAGGCUGGGGACCCUGGCCCCAGCCUCUCCAGCCGCCCCGCCCCCCAAGGCUCACCUGACGGCCGCCCCGGUCCGCAGGAAGCGCUGGAUGGCCCUGUCGGCCGCGGUCAUCGCCGCCUGGGCCCGGGAGCUCAGCAUCACGGCCUCGCGGGAGACCUGCCGCCGUCGCCGCCGCCCCCGCCGCUACCACCGCGGUGGACCGAGGGCUCCGAAGGCUUCCGAGGCGGCGGAACCCGCGGCCACAGUCCCAGCUUCUCCGGGGAAGUAGGGCCGCGACCCGCCCCCCGGAGGACCGGAAGCAGCCGCCGCCGGAGAAAAAGAGCCGACGGACUACAUCCUUGUUUUGCCUUUUCCCCCUUAGCAACGCGCGCCGGCGUCGGUUACCAAGGGAGGCCUUGCGGCCCGCUUGGCUUUUCAAGUUUUCCCCGGGCUCCGUUCGUUUUAAAUACAGAUGUGCCACUUCCAGCUCCUGGGGUCAUUUAAAUUUUUUCCUUAUGAAGAGGGCAGACUAGCCCGAAAGCAGGGAUCAGGCCUCGGCCACCUUCAGGCAUUAUUGUCGUCAGAGUGGAAAUAGGUUGCAGCGGAAGGGCCUUCGUAACCCUGUGGCCCGUCUCUGCAUCAGUUGAGAAACCUAGGCCUUUGAUAACAGCCACCAAAAUAUCCUUCACUUGCGUGCAUUGGUAACAAUGCCUGCAGCCUGGCCCCAUGCUCCUGCUCUAAACAGCAUGAGUGUGGCUGUCAUUGACUGAUAGAAGUUCUUAAAAAUAAAGAUAUAUUACUAAUGUAUAAUGACAACGCUGCUGCCAAGAACCAGGCACUGCCUGCUCUAACAUCCAUCAGGGAGAUCAAGGAUUUGCAGCAUCUGGAAGAUCACAAGGUCAUCCGUCAGAGCCUUACGCAUCUCUCAGCUGCUGGGAUUAUUUUGCAGUUUUCAGGGGGUGUACCUCAAAAGUCUCCAGAGAGCAGAGAGGGAAUCUAAAUGUGAAGCUUGCUGUUGGCUGA